GUGCGCACUUUGGCAGCACUUAUACUAAAGUUGGAACAAUACAGGGAUUAGCAUGGCUGCUGCGUCAUUAGGAUGAGAAGCAAAUUCAUGGAGUGUUCUAUAGUUUC
Mustela putorius furo (domestic ferret) is the source of this 107-nucleotide small nuclear RNA. The record is from Ensembl. NCBI's taxonomy places the organism in Eukaryota, Metazoa, Chordata, Mammalia, Carnivora, Mustelidae.